AGUGAACGCUGGCGGUAGGCCUAACACAUGCAAGUCGAACGGCAGCACAGUAAGAGCUUGCUCUUACGGGUGGCGAGUGGCGGACGGGUGAGGAAUACAUCGGAAUCUACUUUUUCGUGGGGGAUAACGUAGGGAAACUUACGCUAAUACCGCAUACGACCUACGGGUGAAAGCAGUGGAUCUUCGGACCUUGCGCGAUUGAAUGAGCCGAUGUCGGAUUAGCUAGUUGGCGGGGUAAAGGCCCACCAAGGCGACGAUCCGUAGCUGGUCUGAGAGGAUGAUCAGCAAAACUGGAACUGAGACACGGUCCAGACUCCUACGGGAGGCAGCAUAGGGGAAUAUUGGACAAUGGGCGCAAGCCUGAUCCAGCCAGACCGCGGGGGUGAAGAAGGCCUUCGGGUUGUAAAGCCUUUUGUUGGGAAAGAAAAGCAGCAGGUUAAUACCCCGCUGUUCUGACGGUACCCAAAGAAUAAGCACCGGCUAACUUCGUG
This 491-nucleotide ribosomal RNA is filed under the name uncultured bacterium. RNAcentral's name for it is "partial 16S ribosomal RNA". It matches the Rfam family "Bacterial small subunit ribosomal RNA", at positions 29 to 507 of the family's 1533-position model. The record is from RNAcentral.